ACUCGGGCACGAUCUUCGCGCUCGCUUCUCGUCGCGAGAGGCGCGGAGAACCGACCCGUAGUUCAAUCCUGAGGGA
RNAcentral lists this non-coding RNA (76 nucleotides) under Corynebacterium afermentans. Its description in RNAcentral is "L31-Corynebacteriaceae ribosomal protein leader". It matches the Rfam family "L31-Corynebacteriaceae ribosomal protein leader". RNAcentral also lists the same sequence under 1 other name. Lineage: Bacteria; Bacillati; Actinomycetota; Actinomycetes; Mycobacteriales; Corynebacteriaceae. The record is from RNAcentral.